RNAcentral lists this ribosomal RNA (468 nucleotides) under uncultured bacterium. RNAcentral describes it as "partial 16S ribosomal RNA". It matches the Rfam family "Bacterial small subunit ribosomal RNA", at positions 28 to 507 of the family's 1533-position model. The record is from RNAcentral.
GACGAACGCUGGCGGCGUGCUUAACACAUGCAAGUCGAACGGAAAGGCCCUGCUUUUGUGGGGUGCUCGAGUGGCGAACGCGUGAGUAUCACGCGAGUAACCUGCCCUUGUCUUUGGGAUAACUUCAGGAAACUGGGGCUAAUACCCGAUAGGAGCUCCUGCUGCAUGGUGGGGGUUGGAAAGUUUGGGCGGUUGGGGCUCGACUCGCUGGUUAUGAGCUUGUUGGUGGGGUAGUGGCUUACCAAGGUUUUGACGGGUAGCCGGCCUGGGAGGGUGACCGGCCACAUUGGGACUGAGGUACGGCCCAGACUGCUACGGGAGGCAGCAGUGGGGAAUAUUGCACAAUGGGCGGAAGCCUGAUGCGGCAACGCCGCGUGCGGGAUAACGGCCUUCGGGUUGUAAACCGCUUUCGCCUGUGACGAAGCGGGAGUGACGGUAAUGGGUAAGAAAGCACCGGCUAACUACGUG